This 650-nucleotide small RNA is filed under the name Pongo abelii (Sumatran orangutan). RNAcentral's name for it is "retained intron". Lineage: Eukaryota; Metazoa; Chordata; Mammalia; Primates; Hominidae. The record is from RNAcentral.
GUGGAUUGGGACCCCGAGGGACGCAGGGGAGCUCGGCGGGGUGCGGAAGUGCCCACGCACCCGCUGGGGUUGGGAGCUUGGGAGGGCCAGCUUCACCCUUCCGAAGUCCGCUUCAGGUCUCCGGGCCCAGCCUCGGCCACCAUGUCCCGCCAGACCACCUCUGUGGGCUCCAGCUGCCUGGACCUGUGGAGGGAAAAGAAUGACCGGCUCGUUCGACAGGCCGAGGUAACACGGUUGCUGACACCCUCGGUUUGCAGCCCCAAGAUCCCUGAAAGCGGGUUUGCAGUGGAUUUACCCCAACCGAUGGGGAGGGGCUGAGCUUGACCAAAGAGCCAGAAAUGACUGGAGAAUGCAUCCCUUGCCACUGCUGCAAGGGGAGAAAAAAGGAUUGAUCCUCAUUGACAACCCCUCCCUCAUGUGGCAGGUGGCUCAGAACUCCGGUCUGACUCUGAGGCGACAGCACUUGGCUCAGGAUGCACUGGAAGGGCUCAGAGGGCUCCUCCAUAGUCUGCAAGGGCUCCCUGCAGCCAUUCCUGUUCUUCCCUUGGAGCUGACUGUCACCUGCAACUUCAUUAUCCUGAGGGCAAGCUUGGCCCAGGGUUUCACAGAGGAUCAGGCCCAGGAUAUCCAGCGGAGCCUAGAGAGAGGUG